GCGUCCCCCUACAGAGUGCUGGUGUUGGGGGGGACCCUCGGUGCCGCAGCUAACGCAUUAAGCACCCCACCUGGGGAGUACGAUCGCAAGAUUGAAACUCCAAGGAAUUGACGGGGGCCCGCACAAGCGGUGGAGCAUGUGGUUUAAUUCCAAGCAACCCGAAGAACCUUACCAAGGCUUGACCUCCCGAUGACCGGUGUAGAGGUACACUUUUCUUUCGAGACAUCGGUGACAGGUGGUGCAUGGUUGUCGUCAGCUCGUGUCGUGAGAUGUUGGGUUAAGUCCCGCAACGAGCGCAACCCUUAUCUUCAGUAGCCAUCAUUUAGUUGGGCACUCUGGAGAGACUGCCGUGGAUAACACCGAGGAAGGUGGGGAUGACGUCAAAUCAUCAUGCCCCUUAUGUCUUGGGCAACACACGUGCUACAAUGGCUGGUAACAAAGGGAAGCAAGCAGGUGACUGUAAGCAAAUCUCAAAAACCCAGUCCCAGUUCGGAUUGUAGUCUGCAACUCGACUACAUGAAGCUGGAAUCGCUAGUAAUCGCGAAUCAGAAUGUCGCGGUGAAUACGUUCCCGGGCCUUGUACACACCGCCCGUCACACCACGGGAGUUGGAAGCACCCGAAGUCGAUGACCUGACCGUAAGGAGGGAGUCGCCGAAGGUGAAGCCAGUGACUGGGGUGAAGUCGUAACAAGG
This 693-nucleotide ribosomal RNA is filed under the name uncultured Clostridium sp. RNAcentral's name for it is "bacterial SSU rRNA". It matches the Rfam family "Bacterial small subunit ribosomal RNA", at positions 794 to 1496 of the family's 1533-position model. Lineage: Bacteria; Bacillati; Bacillota; Clostridia; Eubacteriales; Clostridiaceae. The record is from RNAcentral.